Molecule: ribosomal RNA, 887 nt
Filed under: marine metagenome
Description: bacterial SSU rRNA
Rfam family: Bacterial small subunit ribosomal RNA
Source: RNAcentral
AGAGUUUGAUCCUGGCUCAGGACGAACGCUGGCGGCGCGCCUAAUGCAUGCAAGUCGAACGAACGAACCCUCUUCGGAGGAUUAGUUAGUGGCAGACGGCUGAGUAACGCGUAAGUAACCUACCCACUGGCGGGGGACAACCCGGAGAAAUUCGAGCUAAUACCGCAUAUGAUUGUCUGCUGAUGGCAGAUAAUUAAAGGCUUCGGCCACCAGUGGAUGGACUUGCGUCCCAUCAGGUAGUUGGUGAGGUAACGGCUCACCAAGCCUACGACGGGUAGCCGGUGUGAGAGCACGACCGGCCAGAGGGGGACUGAGACACGGCCCCCACUCCUACGGGAGGCAGCAGCAGGGAAUCUUGCGCAAUGGGCGAAAGCCUGACGCAGCGACGCCGCGUGGGGGAAGAAGGUUUGAGGAUUGUAAACCCCUUUUCUCGAGGAAGAAGAUCUGACGGUACUCGAGGAAUAAGCCUCGGCUAACUACGUGCCAGCAGCCGCGGUAAUACGUAGGAGGCGAGCGUUGUCCGGAUUCAUUGGGCGUAAAGGGAGAGCAGGUGGCUGAGUUCGUCCGUGGUGCAAGCUCCAGGCUUAACUUGGAGAGGUCUACGGAUACUGCUCGGCUUGAGGACGGUAGAGGAGCACGGAAUUCCUGGUGUAGUGGUGAAAUGCGUAGAUAUCAGGAGGAACACCGGUGGCGAAAGCGGUGCUCUGGGCCGUUCCUGACACUCAGGCUCGAAAGCGUGGGGAGCAAACCGGAUUAGAUACCCGGGUAGUCCACGCCAUAAACGAUGAGUGCUGGGUAUGGGGGGUAUCGACCCCCUCCGUGCCGAAGCUCACGCGUUAAGCACUCCGCCUGGGAACUACGGCCGCAAGGCUAAAACUCAAAGGAAU